Long non-coding RNA from Camarhynchus parvulus, 229 nucleotides. RefSeq lists it as uncharacterized. The transcript is spliced from 3 exons. The record is from RefSeq and is a predicted model, not a curated record. Lineage: Eukaryota; Metazoa; Chordata; Aves; Passeriformes; Thraupidae.
GUGAGCAACAGAGUGACACAGUUCUCUUCUGGCAUCAUGGCAGUAUUGUCCCAGCUGCUUCUGCUGACCUCUGAGUAUGAAAACAGUUUCAAGUAGGAAGAUGGUGAACAAGUGGCUCCAAGGUGCUUAGCUACUGCAGAGAGUUAAAAGACAAUGAUCUUCCAAAAUAUUGUAAAUGUCUUAAGGAUUUAAGUGAAUGUCUUCAAAUAAAAUCCAAUUAAUAUCUUGC